RNAcentral lists this long non-coding RNA (471 nucleotides) under Homo sapiens (human). Its description in RNAcentral is "non-protein coding lnc-C1orf21-3:1". Lineage: Eukaryota; Metazoa; Chordata; Mammalia; Primates; Hominidae. The record is from RNAcentral.
UGCCUGUUGGCCUCCCAAGAUGUUGGAACUACAGUUUCGGAGACUCAAAAUCUACUUCAUUAGGUGACUGACACAGGCUGUAUCUUGCUGGGGAUGAUGGCAUUCACCUCCUACAUGCACUAGAGUUGUAGAAAUCAUGGACAGGCACAAGCCACGUUUUUCAAUGAUGGUCUAAACCAUUGAAUUCAUGGUGUAGUCGUAGCCCACAUUGGUAAGAUUCUGGUCAUAAGCAUAAUAUUCAAUGACUAUUCUAUCAGUUCCAGUUUUUGGUUGUAGACAACGCUCUUAAUAAUUUAAGUAAUUAAUUUUAAAAUUUAAAUUAAUGCAAAUGUGCUCAUCUCAUGGAGGGCCCAAGAACCAGGCUUGAAGAAUCUGUACCACUGACUCUGGAGGGUCCUACUCUGCUAGAACCUUUGUUACUGCCACAUUGAGAGCUGGAUAUCUAUUUAUCAUCACCUACCACCCUCAGCA